UACGUAGGGGGCAAGCGUUAUCCGGAUUUACUGGGUGUAAAGAGAGCGUAGACGGCCAGACAAGUCUGAAGUGAAAAUCCAGCGCUUAACGUUGGAAGUGCUUUGGAAACUGCCGGGCUAGAGUGCAGGAGGGGCAGGCGGAAUUCCUAGUGUAGCGGUGAAAUGCGUAGAUAUUAGGAGGAACACCAGUGGCGAAGGCGGCCUGCUGGACUGCAACUGACGUUGAGGCUCGAAAGCGUGGGGAGCAAACAGG
Molecule: ribosomal RNA, 253 nt
Filed under: uncultured bacterium
Lineage: Bacteria
Description: partial 16S ribosomal RNA
Rfam family: Bacterial small subunit ribosomal RNA
Source: RNAcentral